Molecule: non-coding RNA, 73 nt
Filed under: Lotharella globosa
Lineage: Eukaryota; Cercozoa; Chlorarachniophyceae
Source: RNAcentral
AGGAGAUGGGGCGGAUGUGUGGCCUCACCGCCGUUGUCCUUGUGACGUCGAGCUCAUUAGCAUUGGCUCGGGG